CCCAGGGCGUAGGAGACGACGAGGAUGAAGGCGGUGAAGAGCGCCCAAGCGCUGAGCAGCAGGACAUGAUCCUGGAACAGACAAGCGGCCAAGGUCUUCUUGGCCACGGUCGCACUCACAGCCAGCUCGCCGUCCAUGGAUCCAAGCUUUUCUUAUGGGGAGUCCAUCCAGCCAACCUAGCGAGGGCGAGAUCAGCAGCAACGUAGUGUUAGUACUUAGUUCCCUGGUCUAAUUUUCCAUCACGAAAGAAACGAUCGAGACAUCACGGCGUAGAUCCGACGAGGACAGAGCAAAAUGGCCGGCCGGAGGGAACAGAGGGAGGGAGAGGGACUCACCUUUGCUGGUUGCUUGAUGUGGGAGGUGCUUCCCCUACGCUCGAUCCCUA
Molecule: long non-coding RNA, 385 nt
Filed under: Triticum aestivum (bread wheat)
Lineage: Eukaryota; Viridiplantae; Streptophyta; Magnoliopsida; Poales; Poaceae
Description: long non-coding RNA (TAES_LNC010535)
Source: RNAcentral